Molecule: transfer RNA, 74 nt
Filed under: Campylobacter jejuni
Lineage: Bacteria; Pseudomonadati; Campylobacterota; Epsilonproteobacteria; Campylobacterales; Campylobacteraceae
Also listed under: 580 other names
Description: tRNA-Gly
Rfam family: tRNA
About the family: Transfer RNA (tRNA) molecules are approximately 80 nucleotides in length. Their secondary structure includes four short double-helical elements and three loops (D, anti-codon, and T loops).
Source: RNAcentral
GCGGGUGUAGUUUAGUGGUAAAACCUCAGCCUUCCAAGCUGAUGAUGAGGGUUCGAUUCCCUUCACCCGCUCCA